UACAGAGGUGGCAAGCGUUGUUCUGAAUUACUGGGCGUAAAGGGCGCGUAGGCGGCCAACUAAGUCGGAUGUGAAAUCCCCAGGCUUAACCUGGGAACUGCAUCCGAUACUGGAUGGCUUGAAUCCGGGAGAGGGAUGCAGAAUUCCAGGUGUAGCGGUGAAAUGCGUAGAUAUCUGGAGGAACACCGGUGGCGAAGGCGGCAUCCUGGACCAACACUGACGCUGAGUGAGCGAAAGCCAGGGGAGCAAACGGG
RNAcentral lists this ribosomal RNA (254 nucleotides) under uncultured bacterium. RNAcentral's name for it is "partial 16S ribosomal RNA". It matches the Rfam family "Bacterial small subunit ribosomal RNA", at positions 524 to 776 of the family's 1533-position model. The record is from RNAcentral.